UCUCCGUAGGUGAACCUGCGGAGGGAUCAUUACAGAGUUCAUGCCCUACCGGGUAGAUCUCCCACCCUAUGUUAUUAUUACUUUGUUGCUUUGGCGGGCCGUUAGGCUCCGGCCCGACUACCGGCCCCGGCUGGUAAGCGCCCGCCAGAGGACCAAAACCCUGAAUAUUAGUGUCGUCUGAGUACUAUAUAAUAGUUAAAACUUUCAACAACGGAUCUCUUGGUUCUG
This 228-nucleotide unclassified non-coding RNA is filed under the name plant metagenome. RNAcentral's name for it is "partial contains small subunit ribosomal RNA, internal transcribed spacer 1, and 5.8S ribosomal RNA". The record is from RNAcentral.